CACAGACUUUUUGCUUAUUCACUUUCACAAUCUUAUUGCCUGCUACAAGUAUAUGAGUUUUGCUUAUGAUCUCUUCUCGGCAAUUUUUCCUUAAAUACCCGCUGCCAUGUUGUAUUUUUGCGGUUUUUCCAUUUUCUGGAAAAUCCUUGUUGCCAAUUUUCCUGUUGCCGAACUCCAAAAUAAAACAUACAAUAAUUCCCCUCUAACCGUUUUAUCUCACACGUAAUUCUUCGCGCCAUUAUUCUAUUAUUUGCAUUUCAUUUUUCUCGUUAUAUUUUCAUCAAUGACAAUACAACCCUGUAAUCUACAAUUUUUGCCGCGUUGCUACACUGUAAUACAGGCGUUUCUACACCUAACAGCUGACACACGACCAAACACAUAAAACAAAGAACAUUAAGAAGACCUAAGAAAUAACACAUAAAAAAUAAAAAUCAUUUAGUUUAAUUUUAAUCACAUAUUCAAUUUUUUCUGCUACAAAAAACACUUUUUUAACUCAUCCAGACAUUGAGAAUAAAUAUCAUUAUUUCAACAUUAAUGGAAACCCACCCCUAAAACAAUAAACAUAAACAAAACAAACCAGUGGAACCAAAUUAAAACCAAUUAUCAAACCAAACGGAUGGACACAAGAAACAGGAGCUCGAGAACAAACAAAAAGGAAACAAAUCUGAAGGAAUUACAAUAAUAACAAAUUCAUCAGACUUUUCGGGACAACAAAUAAAGUGUUUAUUUUCCUUUACAAACAAAUAAAACUAAAACAUAUUGUACAUAUAGAAACAA
Molecule: long non-coding RNA, 777 nt
Organism: Lucilia sericata (common green bottle fly)
Lineage: Eukaryota; Metazoa; Arthropoda; Insecta; Diptera; Calliphoridae
Exons: 2
Source: RefSeq, a predicted model, not a curated record